UGCGCAGGCGGGUUUGUAAGUCAGUGGUGAAAUCCUGCCGCUUAACGGUAGAAUUGCCAUUGAUACUGCGAAUCUUGAGUAUGGUUGAGGUAGGCGGAAUGUGUAGUGUAGCGGUGAAAUGCAUAGAUAUUACACAGAACUCCGAUUGCGAAGGCAGCUUACUAAGCCAUAACUGACGCUGAGGUACGAAAGCGUGGGGAGCGAACAGGAUUAGAUACCCUGGUAGUCC
This 229-nucleotide ribosomal RNA is filed under the name uncultured bacterium. Its description in RNAcentral is "partial 16S ribosomal RNA". It matches the Rfam family "Bacterial small subunit ribosomal RNA", at positions 568 to 796 of the family's 1533-position model. The record is from RNAcentral.